GACGAACGCUGGCGGCGUGCUUAACACAUGCAAGUCGAGCGGAAAGGCCACUUCGGUGGUACUCGAGCGGCGAACGGGUGAGUAACACGUGAGUAAUCUGCCCCUGGCUUUGGGAUAGCCACCGGAAACGGUGAUUAAUACCGGAUACGACCACUUCUCGCAUGGGAUGGUGGUGGAAAGUUUUUUCGGCCAGGGAUGUGCUCGCGGCCUAUCAGCUUGAUGGUGGGGUAAUGGCUCACCAUGGCUUCGACGGGUAGCCGGCCUGAGAGGGUGACCGGUCACACUGGGACUGAGACACGGCCCAGACUCCUACGGGAGGCAGCAGUGGGGAAUAUUGGACAAUGGGCGGAAGCCUGAUCCAGCAACGCCGCGUGGGGGAUGACGGCCUUCGGGUUGUAAACCUCUUUCAGCAGGGACGAAGCGCAAGUGACGGUACCUGCAGAAGAAGCACCGGCCAACUACGUGCCAGCCGCCGCGGUAA
Molecule: ribosomal RNA, 481 nt
Filed under: uncultured bacterium
Lineage: Bacteria
Description: partial 16S ribosomal RNA
Rfam family: Bacterial small subunit ribosomal RNA
Source: RNAcentral